This 564-nucleotide ribosomal RNA is filed under the name uncultured Glomeromycotina. RNAcentral's name for it is "SSU rRNA". It matches the Rfam family "Eukaryotic small subunit ribosomal RNA", at positions 548 to 1114 of the family's 1831-position model. The record is from RNAcentral. Lineage: Eukaryota; Fungi; Glomeromycota.
UUGGAGGGCAAGUCUGGUGCCAGCAGCCGCGGUAAUUCCAGCUCCAAUAGCGUAUAUUAAAGUUGUUGCAGUUAAAAAGCUCGUAGUUGAAUUUCGGGAUCAGAGUGUCGGUCGUGCCUCGGUACGCACUGGUAUUAUUGGUUCCUACCUUCUGAAGAACCGCGAUGUCAUUAAUUUGGAGUCGUGGGGAAUCAGGACUGUUACUUUGAAAAAAUUAGAGCGUUUAAAGCAGGCUUACGCUUGAAUACAUUAGCAUGGAAUAAUGAAAUAGGACGUUUGAUUCUAUUUUGUUGGUUUCUAGGAUUGACGUAAUGAUUAAUAGGGAUAGUUGGGGGCAUUAGAAUUCAAUUGUCAGAGGUGAAAUUCUUGGAUUUAUUGAAGACUAACUACUGCGAAAGCAUUUGCCAAGGAUGUCUUCAUUAAUCAAGAACGAAAGUUAGGGGAUCGAAGACGAUCAGAUACCGUCGUAGUCUUAACCAUAAACUAUGCCGACUAGGGAUCGGAUGAUGUUAAUUUUUUAAUGUCUCAUUCGGCGCCUUACGGGAAACCAAAGUGUUUGGGUUC